RNAcentral lists this ribosomal RNA (468 nucleotides) under uncultured bacterium. Its description in RNAcentral is "partial 16S ribosomal RNA". It matches the Rfam family "Bacterial small subunit ribosomal RNA", at positions 28 to 507 of the family's 1533-position model. The record is from RNAcentral.
GACGAACGCUGGCGGCGUGCUUAACACAUGCAAGUCGAACGGCAAGGCCCUGCUUUUUUGGGGUGCUCGAGUGGCGAACGGGUGAGUAACACGUGAGUAACCUGCCCUUGACUUUGGGAUAACUUCAGGAAACUGGGGCUAAUACCGGAUAGGAUCUCCUGCUGCAUGGUGGGGGUUGGAUAUUUGCGGCGGUUGGGGUUGGACUCGCGGCUUAUCAGCUUGUUGGUGGGGUAGUGGCUUACCAAGGCUUUGACGGGUAGCCGGCCUGAGAGGGUGACCGGCAACAUGGGGACUGAGAGACGGCCCAGACGCCAACGGGAGGCAGCAGGGGGGAAUAUUGCACAAUGGGCGGAAGCCUGAGGAAAAAACGCCGCGUGCGGGAUGACGGCCUUCGGGUUGAAAACCGCUGUCGCCUGUGACGAAGCGGGAGUGACGGUAAUGAGUAAAGAAGCACCGGCUAACUACGUG